UUAAAAAGCUCGUAGUUGGAUCAGAGUCGGACAGUGCACGGUGGCCCUGUUUGUCACGGUGGUUCCGAUCACCGUGACGGCAGCGGAUCAACCCCGUGCGCCAAACUGUCCGCUCUAACAGACCGAAACGGUUCCCUGUGAGUAGGCUCCUUAAUUGGGGCUGAAAGCGCUAACGCAUCAACCAUAUGCAUACGGGACGUCGGUCAAUGUUACUGUGAACAAACCAGCGUGUCCAAAACAGGCUUUCGCCUGAAUGUUCGAGCAUGGAAUAACAAGGGAUCGAUUCUCUCGGUUCUUUUUGUUGGUUUUUAACCCGAGAAGGAGUAAUUCAGUCCACGGUGUCUGAGUUGGGUUUCCCUUCACCUCGGUGGAGGCCCCAAUUAGGCCGUGUACUUACGGGAUAAAUAGGGACUGACGGGGUCGUACGUACUUCCACGUCAGAGGUG
Molecule: ribosomal RNA, 446 nt
Filed under: uncultured marine eukaryote
Lineage: Eukaryota
Description: bacterial SSU rRNA
Rfam family: Eukaryotic small subunit ribosomal RNA
Source: RNAcentral